UAUCCCUCGUACCUUUUGCAUCAUGAUUUAGCCAGUACCCCCCUAGCGAAGAGAACUUUAGUUAGAGCCCCCGAAACCAAGUGAGCUACUCCAAGGCAGCCUAAUAAUAGGGCCAACCCGUCUCUGUAGCAAAAGAGUGGGAAGAACUUUGAGUAGAGGUGACAGACCUACCGAACUUGGUUAUAGCUGGUUGCCUGAGAAAUGAAUAGAAGUUCAGCCCCACAGGUCCCCUCUGAACUAUGGGAGUUAUUCAAAGGGGGUACAGCUCCUCUGAUAAAAGACACAACUUUCCCGGGAGGGUAAAGAUCAUAAUAUCUAAGGUAAAAUAUUUUGUAGGCUUAAAAGCAGCCAUCUAUAGUAAAAGCGUCCAAGCUUAAACUCACAAUACCGAUAAUAGUAUCUUAACCCCCCAGCAUUACCGGGCCGCCCCAUACCACUAUGGGAGUGAUCCUGCUAAUAUGAGUAAUAAGAGAACACUCUCUCCCAGCACAUGUGUAAAUCGGAACGAACCCACACCGAACCUUAACGGCCCCAAACAUAGAGGGUAAUGAGCAAAAACCAGAAAUUCACCCACCGUUAACCCCACACUGGUGUGCCAACAGGGAAAGAUUAAAAGAAAGAGAAGGAACUCGGCAAACAAGCCUCGCCUGUUUACCAAAAACAUCGCCUCUUGCA
Molecule: ribosomal RNA, 675 nt
Filed under: Dactyloptena orientalis (oriental flying gurnard)
Lineage: Eukaryota; Metazoa; Chordata; Actinopteri; Syngnathiformes; Dactylopteridae
Description: partial 16S ribosomal RNA
Rfam family: Bacterial large subunit ribosomal RNA
Source: RNAcentral